This 272-nucleotide ribosomal RNA is filed under the name uncultured bacterium. RNAcentral's name for it is "partial small subunit ribosomal RNA". It matches the Rfam family "Bacterial small subunit ribosomal RNA", at positions 26 to 287 of the family's 1533-position model. The record is from RNAcentral.
AGAUUGAACGCUGGCGGCACGCCUAACACAUGCAAGUCGAGCGGCAGCGCAGUAUGCAGUAAUGCAUAUAGGCGGCGAGCGGCGGACGGGUGAGGAACACGUAGGAACUUAUCCUUGAGAGGGGGACAACCAAGGGAAACUUUGGCUAAUACCGCAUAAACUCGAGAGAGUAAAGUUGCCUUGCACUAGUUGUGAGGUGACGCUGAAGGAGAGGCCUGCGCCCGAUUAGCUAGUUGGAGAGGUAAGAGCUCACCAAGGCGAUGAUCGGUAAC